GACGAACGCUGGCGGCGUGCCUAAUACAUGCAAGUUGAGCGCUGAAGGUUGGUACUUGUACCAACUGGAUGAGCAGCGAACGGGUGAGUAACGCGUGGGGAAUCUGCCUUUGAGCGGGGGACAACAUUUGGAAACGAAUGCUAAUACCGCAUAAAAACUUUAAACACAAGUUUUAAGUUUGAAAGAUGCAAUUGCAUCACUCAAAGAUGAUCCCGCGUUUUAUUAGCUAGUUGGUGAGGUAAAGGCUCACCAAGGCGAUGAUACAUAGCCGACCUGAGAGGGUGAUCGGCCCCCUUGGGACUGAGACACGGCCCAAACUCCUACGGGAGGCAGCAGUAGGGAAUCUUCGGCAAUGGACGAAAGUCUGACCGAGCAACGCCGCGUGAGUGAAGAAGGUUUUCGGAUCGUAAAACUCUGUUGGUAGAGAAGAACGUUGGUGAGAGUGGAAAGCUCAUCAAGUGACGGUAACUACCCAGAAAGGGACGGCUAACUACGUG
This 497-nucleotide ribosomal RNA is filed under the name uncultured bacterium. RNAcentral's name for it is "partial 16S ribosomal RNA". It matches the Rfam family "Bacterial small subunit ribosomal RNA", at positions 28 to 507 of the family's 1533-position model. The record is from RNAcentral.